UAGCAUUAAAGAUACAAAUACUCUUUAUAGUACUAUCAUCCUCACCACCAAGAAUGUUAGGGUAACAGCAGAAAAAAACAUUUACUUUUAAAGAUAAACAAAUUCACACGACAGUCAACUCUCAUUUGUUUUUCCAUUGGAAGACGGAAACAAAUGCAGGUGUGGUUAGAGUAGAAUUGUUACAGACUUAUGGUUAACUUUGAUGAGAGAGAAAAAGUAAUUUUUGUUGAAAAUUAUGAUUUGCACUCACAAGCCUAUACAAACAAUACCACACUGAACACAGUUAGGUGCAAUUCUGACCGAAACAACUUUCCCCAAAGUGUGAAGGUUUUGUAUCCUUGUGGGAAAAACAAUAUGUAGCACGUGUACAGAUAGCUAAAAGAUGUACAGAAAAAAAACUCCACAAUAAAGAACGUACAUGGGUGAGCAGACAUGUUAGCAAGGACUAUAACCCAGCAAAUUUAAUAUUCUUACAGAAUGGUUUAACAAAAGCAGAAGAGGGGUCAAGCCAAUACCCACGAGACAGAGCAACAUUUAACGUUUAUGGUCGUUACAGACAUGGUUCUCCUGUACGUUUUAACAAGUGGAGAAUUUCUUGGGAAGAGUAUCCAGAGGAUGUCUUCCCUCUGUACACAAGUGGCCUGACUUACGUGUUUGGCAGAGAAGCACUGAAGGUUAUGGUGGAAUACAUCCCUUACGUACCUUACUUGAAAAUGGAGGACGUAUUUACCACUGGGCUCCUUUCACAUGCAGCUCAGGUCGACCUCGUGGAUCUCGGCGACAGGGUCGAGUACGAGGAGACUUCGGACCCCAAGUUUAAGAGGCAGGUCUUCUUGAAGCAAAUAGAUGAUAAGAUCAGACGAGAAGCUUGGGAGGGCGUACUUCAAAGGGCUCCCGUCUACGUCAGUGUUCUUGGAACGCCGUGGACUUGACUCCUGUUAUGUCGCUGCAUUUUUUUUUUUUUUUUUUUGCUUUUCGUGAGUGCUGACAGUGUUCCAAGUGUGUAAAUCACGACGUCACUAAAGUUAGCAAGGACGAAAUAAGUGAUCUCAGAUACCGAAUCUGUCGAUUUUGUGGGUGGUGUUUCAUUCCCCCAAGGGAAGGGGCUCCCAAAGCUUUCAAUUUGGUCAUCUACCAUUUUUACAAAAACAACAA
Macrobrachium nipponense is the source of this 1155-nucleotide long non-coding RNA. RefSeq lists it as uncharacterized. The transcript is spliced from 2 exons. The record is from RefSeq and is a predicted model, not a curated record. NCBI's taxonomy places the organism in Eukaryota, Metazoa, Arthropoda, Malacostraca, Decapoda, Palaemonidae.